UGGUAAUGAAUGGAGGAAUUAUUUGUUUGUAUGGAGGGGGUGUUUUAAAAAUGAUCAUCUUUUUUGACC
RNAcentral lists this ribosomal RNA (69 nucleotides) under Acanthocheilonema reconditum. Its description in RNAcentral is "partial 28S ribosomal RNA". Lineage: Eukaryota; Metazoa; Nematoda; Chromadorea; Rhabditida; Onchocercidae. The record is from RNAcentral.